AUUAAUAAUUAAUAUAUUUAAUAAAAAUAAUUUUAAUUUAAUAAAUAUUUUAAUGGGGGUUAAAGUAUUUUUUAAAGAAAAAAUUUUUAAAUUUAUAGUUAAUUAGUAUUGUGAAAGAAUUUUGAAAUAUUAUGAAAAAUAAAAUUUUUGUAAAGUAAUUUUUAUUUAUUGUAUCUUGUGUAUCAGAGUUUAUUAAAAAUUUUUAGUUUAUAAAUUAAUUUCUCGAAUUUAAAAGAGUUAAAUAAUUAUUAAAGUUAUUGUAGCAAAAUCAUUUUAAAUAAUUAUUUAGAAAUGAAAUGUUAAUCGUUUUUAAAUAUAUCUAGUUUUUAUAGAAAAAAAUUUAAUUUUAAAUUUAAAAAUUAUUUAAUUAAUUUAUUAAUUAAAUAAUUGUUUAAAUUUUAUAAUUUAAGGGAUAAGCUUUAAAUUAAAUUUUUAUAGUAUUAAAUUUUUAUUUUGAAAAUUUUAUAAUUUAUAUUGUUAAUAAAAUUUAUUUUGUUAUAAAUAAUUUCAUUUUUUUUAAAAUUUAAAUUUUAUUUAAUUUUUUAUAUAAAAUUUAUUUAUAAUUAUAUAAAGUUAAUUAUAAUGAUAAAAUUAGUAUAUUAUUUAAUAUUAAAUUAAAAUUAAUUUUUGAUUAAUAAUUAAAUUAAUUAAAAGGAAUUCGGCAAAUAUUUAUUUUCACUUGUUUAUCAAAAACAUGUCUUUUUGUUAUUUAAUUUAAAGUCUAAUCUGCCCACUGAUUUAUAAAAAUUGAAGGGCUGCAGUAUAUUGACUGUACAAAGGUAGCAUAAUCAUUAGUCUCUUAAUUGGUGACUUGUAUGAAAGAUUGGAUGAAAAAUAUACUGUCUCUUAAUUAAUAUAUAGAAUUUAAUUUUUUAUUUAAAAAGUUAAAAUAAUUUAAAAAGACGAGAAGACCCUAUAGAGUUUAAUAAAUUAUUUUAUGAAAGUUUUAUUUAUAUUUAUUAAUAAUUUUAUAAAUUUAUUUAUUUUGUUGGGGUGAUAAAAAAAUAAGUUUAACUUUUUUUAAGUAAUUUACAUGAAUAAGUGAUUAAU
RNAcentral lists this ribosomal RNA (1050 nucleotides) under Biston brevipennata. Its description in RNAcentral is "partial 16S ribosomal RNA". Lineage: Eukaryota; Metazoa; Arthropoda; Insecta; Lepidoptera; Geometridae. The record is from RNAcentral.